Molecule: transfer RNA, 75 nt
Filed under: bacterium
Lineage: Bacteria
Description: tRNA-Glu
Rfam family: tRNA
About the family: Transfer RNA (tRNA) molecules are approximately 80 nucleotides in length.
Source: RNAcentral
GGUCCUAUCGUCUAGCCUGGUCUAGGACGUUCCCCUCUCACGGGAAAAACUCGGGUUCGAAUCCCGAUGGGACCA